UCCCGGUCUUACCACUAGAUGGCGGCAUUGUGUAACAGAAAAUAGAAAAUAGAAAAAGUAACAGGAUCUCCUGUUACUUAGUUACUCGCUGUGUGACUCCGGGCAAGUGGCCGGAAGCGGGGAAAGGAAGGACUUGUGCAAAUAAGCUGUGAUGACACAUAUUAAUACCUUGUGGUUAAGUUGUAUGGAUGCCAAGCCAGAAGGCCUGGGUUCGGAUCCUGCCGUCCGAGGGCCGUGAGCGCCCGGGCAGGGUGGAUGCUAACUUGAGGGCUGUUUGGGGAAAAUUCACGAAUGAGGACAAGGAUCUUCCAUGGAUGACCUAAAUUUCUUCUCUCGGAAAUGCCCUGGCAAGAAAUGACAGGUGACUAAGGAAAAAAAAACACAACUGGACUGUAUAGAUCUUGUCUGUGUGAGAGCAGGCGUGGAAGGAAAGAGCCUGGGCAUGGAUCUGCACAUGAAGGCUGGGCUUCAGCAAGGGCGAUCAGAGGUUUGAAAA
This 496-nucleotide long non-coding RNA is filed under the name Dasypus novemcinctus (nine-banded armadillo). RNAcentral's name for it is "lncRNA (ENSDNOG00000052259.1)". The record is from RNAcentral. Lineage: Eukaryota; Metazoa; Chordata; Mammalia; Cingulata; Dasypodidae.